Gallus gallus (chicken) is the source of this 2309-nucleotide long non-coding RNA. RefSeq lists it as uncharacterized. NCBI's taxonomy places the organism in Eukaryota, Metazoa, Chordata, Aves, Galliformes, Phasianidae. The record is from RefSeq and is a predicted model, not a curated record. The transcript is spliced from 2 exons.
GCUGUUCGUUGGUGUUCCCACUUCAUACAAAUUAAUGCUACAACGACCGUGGGUUUUUUUUUUUCUUUUGUGGUCCCCUUGUGUCUAAGUUUUGUAUAUAUGUGUGUAUGUGUGUGUCUACAUGCACACAUUUAAAGCAGUUGCUGGCACAGUUGGCUGGAAACAUAAAUGUAAAAUGAGAAGUGUUAAUGAAAACUGGAACUUAGCCAAGAUGAAUACUCUGCUGGAUGGAGAUGGAGAUGGAAAAUGGAUCUGUAGGGUAAGAAACAGCCUGUUUAGAAAGGGAUGUAGAAAGAGCAAUAUAAUGCAAAGAAGCAGUGUAUAAAGCGGGGAAGAAAAGAGGAAACGGAAUGGCAAUGAUUAUGAACUACAAGCUAAAACAAUGCAAGGGAUUGAUAAAAGGAAACCAAAGGAUUAAUAGACUAUCAACUGCCAGUCCAGCUAAAGAAAUGCAGAAAGCAUUCCAAAAAUCCUGUUAGGAACAAUGCUGCCUGCUCUCCCAGACACAUCCCCGUGGCACUAUAGGCCAAUUGCUAAAUGCAGAUGGUAAAAUCAUAAACAGUGGUGCAAAAAAAGGCAGAAAUGUUCAAUAGCUAUUUCUCCUCUGCUUUUGGAAGGGAGCAGGAUAUUCUUCCCAUAUGAUGUUGCGGAUGGAGUAGAGCAUUUACCAUCUGGAACAAAGGAGGAUGUGAGGCAGCAUCUGCUAAAAUUAAAUGUUUUUCACAUCAUCCGGCCUGGCUAUCUUUGUGUCUUAAAGGAACCAGCUAAAGCACUUAGUGAAGUUUUAUAUUUACAAAUCUGGGGAGAUUCCAAGGACAUGGGAGAGCGCCAUGGCUGAUCUGGGACUUCACAAGCCUCAGUGGGACACUCUGGGGAGCAAUCGGCUGCUUAGCAGGACAGCAUCCUUCGACAGACUCACCAGACAUUAAUUCAGGCCUCCAACAACAAGGAAUUAGAGGCUAAAAAUAAAAGCAGCACUAAUCAGCUGGGUUUCGUGGAAGGUAAGUCUCAUUAGAUAAACCUGUUGUCUAUUUUUUCAGACAAGAUUAGAGAUCUGGUUGACACAGUACUCUUGGCUUUCUCCACCACAUGACAGCUUGAUUAAUGAGCUCACAUUAUGCAGGAUGAAUAGGGCACACACCACCUGGAUUAAGGCUUGGCUGAGUGACAGAUGUGAAAAUGUAGUUAUUGAUGGGGAAACAGCAGCAGGCCAAAAAUGUUCGACAGGGUAAAGCCAGCCACAUGGACCUCUGAGUAACUCACCCUUCUCUGUUCUACUGUAGAGGGUUUGAAAGCCCAGCAUUGCAUGUGUCCCUUGGCAAGGUCUGUCUCAUCUGUUUGCAUAGCACUGGGAUGCAUCUGCACAAUUACUUCCAUUAAUCAAGUGGAGAAGCAGGGAGGCAACGAAGGUGGGCUGAUAUUUCAGGAAGCUGUGAGAAAUGAUGGAUGAUGAGAAAUCAACUGCUGUCCUCAGGGGCAGCCUGCACACGCAAUGCCAUACUUCUGGCCUGACAAACCCACUGAGGCCAGCAAGCAAAUCAGUAGCAGAGCUGGGAAGAGAGCUCAGCAGUCACUGGCUCUGGGCCUGACCCAGGCUGACUCACUUAUCUUACACAUGUUGCAUCUUUUCCAUGCAAGGAGCAGGCACUGACAUCAGCAGAGCCCAGAACUCCUCCCACUGGCCAGGAUGGGCUCUUUAUUCCCAGCCAAAGCUCUGACUUCCACCGUCAUAUCACUGGAGCAGCACCUCAUAAAGCAAACAGACAAACACUGCUGAACAGAGCUCUGAUAGAAGGUGGAAGACACAAAUUCUUGUAUGCUCAUUUUUGCAUACAAAAAUGAUUGUAUGCAUGUAUGAUACAUGUCUGCUCUUACUUUAUCACUUCAUAGUCCCUCCUGACAACUUCACUCUUCAGGAAUUGGACUUGAUCCUUAUGGGUUCCAUCCAACUUGGGAUACUCUAUGAUUCACAGGAGGUCAAACUGUAGGUACAGUACUGUAGGAGGAAGACAGGUUUUGAAAUGUGUGGCUUAUUGUGGAUGGCCAGAUGGAUGUGAGAGUAAAGGAAACUGUCUACUCAACAUUUUCACAGAGAAAACUGCCAAGCUAGAAAGUGAAGUCCAUGGAAGUCCAGGAGGGAAAAAGAACAGGAAUGGUCAAAAACAAAGUCCUGCGGCUAUUGGAACAUCAUCAGUUCUGGCUUCUGGAGGCCCGGUGCACCACAUUACAACCACGGAAGAAUGUGUUUUUAAAGUAAUUAUUUAAAUAGUGUUAAUUAGCUCUAUAAAAAUGAAAAAGAAUUUUUUUUU